Podarcis muralis (Common wall lizard) is the source of this 274-nucleotide non-coding RNA. Lineage: Eukaryota; Metazoa; Chordata; Lepidosauria; Squamata; Lacertidae. The record is from RefSeq and is a predicted model, not a curated record.
AAGUCACAGGAAGGAUCCCAGUUUGUGAAAGGAUUUGGAGGAAUUGGAGGUAUCUUGCGGUACCGAGUGGACUUCCAGGGAAUGGAAUACCAAGGAGGAGACGAUGAAUUUUUUGACCUUGAUGACUACUAGGUAGUCGACCUGGGUCCGGCAAAACGUGCCUCACCCCUCCAGCAUCCAACCCAAGGAGAAAGCUUGCGAUGGAAUACAAAACAGAUCCCUGCCUUAGAAUUGGAGUUUUUCCAGAACUUUAUCCAGAACACCGGGUUUAAAA